Chiroxiphia lanceolata (lance-tailed manakin) is the source of this 1069-nucleotide long non-coding RNA. RefSeq lists it as uncharacterized. Lineage: Eukaryota; Metazoa; Chordata; Aves; Passeriformes; Pipridae. The transcript has 3 exons. The record is from RefSeq and is a predicted model, not a curated record.
CUUAUCUCCCUUUCCUUUUCUUCUCUUCCACAUAUAAAACAAGUCUGAUCAUUACACUGAUCACAAAACGGUCACAAAACUGAUCAUUAUUUCUCCCCAUUUCCCCUUUCUACUCCCUUGGCCAGCUCCACAGGCAGCAUCCUUGGGUUGGUUUGAACUCCUUCCUCUUCUCAGCCACUCCUUUUCCUUGGGAGACCUCACUGCCUGGAGGGACACAUUCGGGUCCCUGGCUACAAAUGCAGCCGGGGUGAUACUGGUCUGCCAAGCAAUGGAGGCUGUGAGCAAGAAGCCAAUAGCAACUUGUUAAUAAGGUUUGUUUUGUAAAAAGGCCCCUUUGAGUUAGCAGUUAAAACGCUCUCUCUUCCCUUGACUUCUGCUGGAGUAAGCCAAUGACUUUCUGUAAUAAUUUUUAUCUGUGUGUCAAGAAUUUAACCUCGAAAGCAUAACUGGACUGCAUUAAUUAAGCUUUAUCUCAUCUCCAGCUGAACCAAUGGUCAACAAACAAACAGAGCUUUCUCAGGAUGGAGUUCCUGUGCAUUUACGUGGUCCACAGCAGUUUUACCUCCUGGGCAGAAAGGUAUUCCCCAGUCACUUUGUGGUGGGAGUCGUGAAUUCCCUCCUCACAGCUUAUUUGUGUCAACCAUAAAAUAUCCCCAAGCCUCUUCUUCCAGGAAAUGUGAGGUCCAGAAGAGGUCCUUUUGGUCUGCGCAGCAUCUUCCAAGCAUCCACAGAGUCUGGCACCUGGAGUAAAGGGCUCCUUUGCUUUUUACCCAUUGAUGCUAACGAUGACUCUGUGAGCAACCCGGCUUGACUCUGAGAAUGCAGGUUGGGUUUGUAACAGUAGCACUUUAGAAGACCUUCCUUUUGACCUCCUGAUGAAAUCAGCCAUGGUCUCGCUGUGCACAGAGCAUCCCCUCUGAGCACAGCUGCAACGAACAAGCAGGAAUUUCUGAGACGGCACAAACUUGCAAACCCUUCCACAAGAUUAUCAAAUGACAGCAGGUUGAAAGUAUGUAAUGAGCAGCACGGAUUCACUGACUAAGCAUCCCUACAGGGACUGGUGCUUAAU